Molecule: non-coding RNA, 190 nt
Filed under: Massiliimalia timonensis
Lineage: Bacteria; Bacillati; Bacillota; Clostridia; Eubacteriales; Oscillospiraceae
Description: 6S / SsrS RNA
Rfam family: 6S / SsrS RNA
About the family: E. coli 6S RNA was the first non coding RNA to be sequenced, but its function was unknown until recently. It consists of 184 nucleotides that fold into an extended hairpin structure with a large single-stranded internal bulge.
Source: Rfam by way of RNAcentral
UUUUCUCUGCCUUGAUUUGUUAGCGCAGAUUAUAAUAAUCCAACACCUUGAUAAUCGGGGACCGGACUCUUCGGCGGAUUGCAGACCUCCCGCUUUUAGCGGAAGAAGGGAGCGUGGUAGCCAGAAGGAGGUCACCCACCUGCUUUUUGGCGGGUUUUUAUCAACUGCGCGACGGCAAGGCGGACAAAAG